AACGCGAAGAACCUUACCUACCCUUGACAUGUACGGAAUCCUGAAGAGAUUUAGGAGUGCUCGAAAGAGAACCGUAACACAGGUGCUGCAUGGCUGUCGUCAGCUCGUGUCGUGAGAUGUUGGGUUAAGUCCCGCAACGAGCGCAACCCUUGUCAUUAGUUGCUACGAAAGGGCACUCUAAUGAGACUGCCGGUGACAAACCGGAGGAAGGUGGGGAUGACGUCAAGUCCUCAUGGCCCUUAUGGGUAGGGCUUCACACGUCAUACAAUGGUACAUACAGAGGGCCGCCAACCCGCGAGGGGGAGCUAAUCCCAGAAAGUGUAUCGUAGUCCGGAUUGGAGUCUGCAACUCGACUCCAUGAAGUUGGAAUCGCUAGUAAUCGCGGAUCAGCAUGUCGCGGUGAAUACGUUCCCGGGUCUUGUACACACC
This 429-nucleotide ribosomal RNA is filed under the name uncultured soil bacterium. RNAcentral's name for it is "bacterial SSU rRNA". It matches the Rfam family "Bacterial small subunit ribosomal RNA", at positions 958 to 1391 of the family's 1533-position model. The record is from RNAcentral.